AGCAGCAGCCACGGUAAUACGUAGGGUGCAAGCGUUAAUCGGAAUUACUGGGCGUAAAGCGUGCGCAGGCGGUUCGCUAAGACAGAUGUGAAAUCCCCGGGCUUAACCUGGGAACUGCAUUUGUGACUGGCGGGCUAGAGUAUGGCAGAGGGGGGGUAGAAUUCCACGUGUAGCAGUGAAAUGCGUAGAGAUGUGGAGGAAUACCGAUGGCGAAGGCAGCCCCCUGGGCCAAUACUGACGCUCAUGCACGAAAGCGUGGGGAGCAAACAGGAUUAGAUCCCCGAGUAGUCCCUGUCUCUUAUU
Molecule: ribosomal RNA, 303 nt
Filed under: uncultured bacterium
Lineage: Bacteria
Description: partial 16S ribosomal RNA
Rfam family: Bacterial small subunit ribosomal RNA
Source: RNAcentral